UACAGAGGGUGCGAGCGUUGUUCGGAAUUACUGGGCGUAAAGCGCGCGCAGGCGGCCUUUUAAGUCCAUCGGUCAAAUGCCGGGGCUCAACCCCGUGCCCGCCGAGGAUACUGGAAGGCUGGAGACACGGUAGAGGGCAAGCGGGAAUUCCGGGUGUAGGCGGUGGAAUGCGUAGAGAUCCGGAAGAACACCGGAGGCGAA
RNAcentral lists this ribosomal RNA (201 nucleotides) under uncultured bacterium. RNAcentral's name for it is "partial 16S ribosomal RNA". It matches the Rfam family "Bacterial small subunit ribosomal RNA", at positions 524 to 719 of the family's 1533-position model. The record is from RNAcentral.